RNAcentral lists this ribosomal RNA (468 nucleotides) under uncultured bacterium. RNAcentral's name for it is "partial 16S ribosomal RNA". It matches the Rfam family "Bacterial small subunit ribosomal RNA", at positions 28 to 507 of the family's 1533-position model. The record is from RNAcentral.
GACGAACGCUGGCGGCGUGCUUAACACAUGCAAGUCGAACGGAAAGGCCCUGCUUUUGUGGGGUGCUCGAGUGGCGAACGGGUGAGUAACACGUGAGUAACCUGCCCUUGACUUUGGGAUAACUUCAGGAAACUGGGGCUAAUACCGGCUAGGAGCUCCUGCUGCAUGGUGGGGGUUGGAAAGUUUCGGCGGUUGGCGAUGGACUCGCGGCUUAUCAGCUUGUUGGUUGGGUAGUGGCUUACCAAGGCUUUGACGGGUAGCCGGCCUGAGCGGGUGACCGGCCACAUUGGGCCUGAGAGACGGCCCAGAAUCGUAUGGGAGGCAGCAGUGGGGAAUAUUGCACAAUGGGCGGAAGCCUGAUGCAGCAACGCCGCGUGCGGGAUGACGGCCUUCGGGUUGUAAACCGCUUUCGCCUGUGACGAAGCGUGAGUGACGGUAAUGGGUAAAGAAGCACCGGCUAACUACGUG